AUUGAACGCUGGCGGCAUGCUUUACACAUGCAAGUCGAACGGCAGCGCGGGCUUCGGCCUGGCGGCGAGUGGCGAACGGGUGAGUAAUACAUCGGAACGUGCCCAGUAGUGGGGGAUAGCUCGGCGAAAGCCGGAUUAAUACCGCAUACGACCUGAGGGUGAAAGCGGGGGAUCUUCGGACCUCGCGCUAUUGGAGCGGCCGAUGGCAGAUUAGCUAGUUGGUGGGGUAAAGGCCUACCAAGGCGACGAUCUGUAGCUGGUCUGAGAGGACGACCAGCCACACUGGGACUGAGACACGGCCCAGACUCCUACGGGAGGCAGCAGUGGGGAAUUUUGGACAACGGGCGAAAGCCUGAUCCAGCAAUGCCGCGUGUGUGAUGAAGGCCUUCGGGUUGUAAAGCACUUUUGGCGGGAACGAAAAGGACUGUGCCAAUACCACGGUUCGAUGACGGUACCCGCAGAAUAAGCACCGGCUAACUACGUG
RNAcentral lists this ribosomal RNA (484 nucleotides) under uncultured bacterium. Its description in RNAcentral is "partial 16S ribosomal RNA". It matches the Rfam family "Bacterial small subunit ribosomal RNA", at positions 29 to 507 of the family's 1533-position model. The record is from RNAcentral.